GGGAACAUGUCAGAGCUGUGAGGAUCAAAGAUCUCUCCUCUCUCCCUGUUGAUCCACUCUUCCCCACCCCCACAGCCACGAUCUUUCUGAUCUCCCAGUCUGCAUCCUCACAGAGGGGUCUGGGAACUCCAACUGCAGGAAGACAUCAGAAACCAGAAUUAUCCUUCCAGUUGGGUCCCGUCCUCCCGUUUCUCUCACUGACAGCCUCAACUCUUCUAAAUCCUUCCUAUUCCUCGGCCCUCUCCUCCUGUCCUCCCCGAGACACUCAUUCUCCCCUCUUCAUGCCCGUUUGCCCACGUGCCCCCCUCCCCACCCCUCCUGACCUGCUCUGUCUCGUGCUCCUCUCUCCCUCACACCUGAAGAGCACUCCACAGCCAGGAUGUGCUAUUUCUAUGGGACAAAUCCUUAUCUGUUCCUUUACCGCACUCUACUAUGCUUCACCAUUGUGGACCCCUGGGGACUGAGGGCACCCCCAGCCAGCGGCUCCAGUCUCCUCAUCCUUCAUUCACAUUCUGCACGUUCGACAGACCUUCUGGAGCCCAGGGGACACAGCUAAAGAGCCUUGAAGAGGAGAAAAGAGCAGCUCAGCAGUGAGGAAUUUUUAGCAGUGAUGAUGUGGCUGAGUGAAGUAACUCUGCUGUUCCGGGCGGGUCUGCCAGACUUCUGUUUCUGUUCCUGGAAGCCCCCCCUCAGAUGGACAGGGGUUUUCCGCAUGUUCUGGGGCUCCAGGAGCAUAUAUAUCCAGCGACCCAGGCGCCCAGCGAGACUGAGGGAGCAGAGCCGGACCCACUGGAUUCUUCAGCACACCACUGACGCAGGCUCGGGUACGAUGAUGUGGGCUUUCUUGGCACUGUGCUUCCUGCUGUGCCAUUCUGCCCAGGGGGCAGCGAGCGCAGGAGAGCAGAGGGCCCUGGGGCAGAGGGACAACAGCCCAGAGGCGCAGGAGGGGCGCGGCUGCAGUUCCACGCUGGCAGAGGUGCUGGGGCAGCUGCUGAGGCAGUGCCUGGCCUGGAAGGGAGGCUGGGCGGAGCUGACCUGCGACCCCACCGAGAUGGGGUUCCACGGCUUCACCCCGGAGCCGAACUCCAGCAGCUCCUUCCCCUGGUACAGCUUCCUGGUCCAGAACCGCAUCCGCUACUACCACCUGCGCAAGGCCAACGCCAGCCUGUCCAAGUUCGAGCUGUCUCCGGACGACCGCCACACGCUGGUGGGCCUGUCCCUGCUGCGCCCCGCCAACGCCUCCUCUUCCUCCUCGCCCAAGGUAGGCUCAGUCUUCCUCUCGGACCCGUGCAGCGACUGGGGCACCGUGCCCAUCCCGGCCGCCGCCCUGCAGCCCCUGCGCGGCCUCCCGCCGGCCCGGUUCCAGAGCGCCCUCUCCAGGCUGCAGGCGGAAGCGCAGCGCCCCCGCCGCACCAAGCGCUGCCUGCUGUGCAAGAUCCUGCCGCUCAUCUACGUGAAAAGCAGCGACCAGCACGACGGCAGGGCGGUGGUCCACUGGCAGAACAUCCACGAUUCGGACGAGUACAGCCGCGUGGCGCUGUACCCCAACGCGGACUCCUCGCCCUGGGGCUUCCUGACCAAGGCGAACGCGGAGGGGGUGACGGACGGGUAUCUGCGCACCCGUGUCCCGGUGCACCCCAACAUGGAGGCGCGCUUCUACCUGGACCCGCUGCUGGUGCUGCUGGAGCGGAAGAGCAAGGGCUACCACCUGUCCUGCUACGAGGACCCCACUUACGUCAGCAUGUCCAUGAGGCUGCAGCUGGUGGCCCAGCAUGGGCAGGCCUGCGCCCGCGUCUUCAUCGACGUCUCCCAGCACCCCAACUGGCGCAACGAGGUCUACUACUGGUGGGUGGGCUUCUACAGCAGCCGGAACAGGGCCGCCAACGAGCACCAGGAGUACCAGUGGGUGACCAAGGCCUCCUACGUUACCUCCGUCUUCCUGGACGAGGAAAUUUUCGGGGUGUACGACGUGGGCUGUGGGGGCCACAUUGGCCCCCGGAUGAAUGUGCGCAUCUUUGGGAGCCGAGAUUACUCCAGAGAGAGGGCCCGCACCCCAGAAUGGGACUGCUGAGAGAGCCCCGCCGACGCACAGAAAUCCCACCGCUGACUCACUAAU
Molecule: long non-coding RNA, 2116 nt
Filed under: Lepisosteus oculatus (spotted gar)
Lineage: Eukaryota; Metazoa; Chordata; Actinopteri; Semionotiformes; Lepisosteidae
Description: lncRNA (ENSLOCG00000022275.1)
Source: RNAcentral